AGAGAAAAAAAUAUGAAUUAAUUAAUUACAAAAUCCAUGUCACACAUGGUCAUUUAAGUACACAUUAACAUUAUAAUACAAUUUAUUUAACAGAAAUUCAUAAAAAACUUUCUUGAAUACUAUCAGUGGUAAAUCCUUAUAAGUGCCUGGUAUUUUAUUGUAUAUUCGAAUUGACAUACAGUAAGCAUCGUUGUGUUACUUGUCGAUGUAAUUAAAGUCGGUUUUUUUUCGUUUGCGAGCAAAUACAAUUAUAUAAGUAUAGAUACAGUAAAACAACCCGCG
RNAcentral lists this unclassified non-coding RNA (282 nucleotides) under Melitaea cinxia (Glanville fritillary). Its description in RNAcentral is "misc RNA ENSMCXG00005021951.1". The record is from RNAcentral. Lineage: Eukaryota; Metazoa; Arthropoda; Insecta; Lepidoptera; Nymphalidae.